This 450-nucleotide ribosomal RNA is filed under the name uncultured bacterium. Its description in RNAcentral is "partial 16S ribosomal RNA". It matches the Rfam family "Bacterial small subunit ribosomal RNA", at positions 354 to 796 of the family's 1533-position model. The record is from RNAcentral.
GUGGGGAAUUUUGGACAAUGGGCGAAAGCCUGAUCCAGCAAUGCCACGUGUGUGAAGAAGGCCUUCGGGUUGUAAAGCACUUUUGGCAGGGAAGAAACAGUGCGUGCUAAUACCAUGCGCGAAUGACGGUACCUGCAGAAUAAGCACCGGCUAACUACGUGCCAGCAGCCGCGGUAAUACGUAGGGUGCAAGCGUUAAUCGGAAUUACUGGGCGUAAAGCGUGCGCAGGAGGCUUUGUAAGACGGAUGUGAAAGCCCCGGGCUCAACCAGGGAAGUGCAUUCGAGACUGCAAGGCUAGAGUGUGUCAGAGGGAGGUGGAAUUCCGCGUGUAGCAGUGAAAUGCGUAGAGAUGCGGAGGAACACCGAUGGCGAAGGCAGCCUCCUGGGAUAACACUGACGCUCAGGCACGAAAGCGUGGGGAGCAAACAGGAUUAGAAACCCGUGUAGUCC